GCUGAAGAACGUAGCGAAAUGCGAUAAGUAAUGUGAAUUGCAGAAUCCAGUGAAUCAUCGAAUCUUUGAACGCACAUUGCGCCCGCCAGCAUUCUGGCGGGCAUGCCUGUUCGAGCGUCAUUUCAACCCUCGACCUCCCUUUGGGGAAGUCGGCGUUGGGGACCGGCAGCACACCGCCGGCCCUGAAAUGGAGUGGCGGCCCGUCCGCGGCGACCUCUGCGUAGUAAACCAACUCGCACCGGAACCCCGACGUGGCCACGCCGUAAAACACCCAACUUCUGAACGUUGACCUCGAAUCAGGUAGGACUACCCGCUGAACUUAAGCAUAUCAAUAAGCGGAGGA
Molecule: unclassified non-coding RNA, 343 nt
Filed under: soil metagenome
Description: partial contains 5.8S ribosomal RNA, internal transcribed spacer 2, and large subunit ribosomal RNA
Rfam family: 5.8S ribosomal RNA (bases 3-120)
Source: RNAcentral